This 69-nucleotide transfer RNA is filed under the name Ictidomys tridecemlineatus (thirteen-lined ground squirrel). Its description in RNAcentral is "Spermophilus tridecemlineatus (thirteen-lined ground squirrel) tRNA". It matches the Rfam family "tRNA". From Rfam's summary of the family: Transfer RNA (tRNA) molecules are approximately 80 nucleotides in length. The record is from Rfam by way of RNAcentral. Lineage: Eukaryota; Metazoa; Chordata; Mammalia; Rodentia; Sciuridae.
GGGGUUGUAGCUCAGUGGAAGAGCACUUGCCUAGCAUGUAUGAGGCACUGGGUUCAAUCCUCAGCACCA